GACGUAGGGCGCGAGCGUUGUCCGGAUUUAUUGGGCGUAAAGAGCUCGUAGGCGGCUCGUUGCGUCGGCUGUGAAAACCCGCAGCUCAACUGUGGGCUUGCAGCCGAUACGGGCGGGCUUGAGUUCGGUAGGGGAGACUGGAAUUCCUGGUGUAGCGGUGAAAUGCGCAGAUAUCAGGAGGAACACCGGUGGCGAAGGCGGGUCUCUGGGCCGAAACUGACGCUGAGGAGCGAAAGCGUGGGGAGCGAACAGGAUUAGAA
This 260-nucleotide ribosomal RNA is filed under the name uncultured bacterium. Its description in RNAcentral is "partial 16S ribosomal RNA". It matches the Rfam family "Bacterial small subunit ribosomal RNA", at positions 524 to 783 of the family's 1533-position model. The record is from RNAcentral.